AAUCAGCACUCAGGUGGAACUUAUAAAGGUCUCCUGGUCCUUGGAUAUUUUCCUGGGUCUCAUGCUAGGAAAGUCUGCAGCAGGAAGAUGCUAAAGACCUGAGAAGUUCAUGCAAUGGAAAGAAGUGGGCCUUUCAGUCAAAGAUGUGGAAUUAAAUUCUGAUGUGACAAACCAAGAUGGGCAAAUGAUUUUAGGUCCUUGAAUCUCAGGGUCCUCCUUUAUAAAACAGCCUGACCUCAUCAAGUUGAUAUUACGGGCAGCAUGAGAUAAUGUAUGCACUGCCGUUUGGAAUGAAAAAUGGUACGGCUGUAUGGAAAAUAAUUUAGAAGAUCUUCAAAAUUUAAAAUUACCACAUGAUUCAGAAAUCCCACCUUUAGGUGUGUAUCAAAAGACUUAAAAACAGGUAUGUAAACAAACACGUGUAAAUGCACGUUCAUAGCAGUGCUAUUUACAGUAGCCACAAGGUGAAAAGAGCCCAAAUGUCCAUCAAUGGCUGAAUGGAUAAACAAACUGUGAGAUCUAUCGACAAUGGAAUGUUACUCAGCAAAAAAAACUGAAACACUGGUAUAUGCUACAACAUGGAUCUACCUCAAAAACAUAUUCAGUGAAAGAAGACAGACACAAAAGGUCACACACUGUAGGUAUAUGAAUACCCUGAUAAUUAGGGUAAAAGCAGAUAUGUGGGUACCAAAGCCUGGGAGGAGGGGGGGGCAGGAGAAAAGCUUAACGGGCAUAGAGUUUCCUUUGGGGGUGAUGGAAAUAUUUUGAAACUAAAUAGACGUGAUUGUAUACAUAGUGAAAUGUGCUAAAUGCCACGGAAAUGUUUACCUUUAAAGUGGUAAAUUUUAGGUUUGUGAAUUUCACUUCAGUUACAAAACAACACCAAAAAACACAUGAGAUAGUGUGUAUGAAAAUAUUCCAUUUUUAGGAGUUUCCCAUCAUGGCUCAGUGGUAAUGAAUCCAACUAGGAUCCAUGAGGAUACAACUUCCAUCCCUGGCCUUGCUCAGUGCAUUAAGGAUCUGGCGUUGCCGUGAGUUGUGGUAUUGGUCAUAGAUGCAGCUCGGAUCUGGCAUCGCUGUGGCUGUGAUGUAGGCCAGCAGCUGUAGCUCUAAAUCAACCCCUAGCCUGGGAACUUCCAUAUGUUUUGAGUAAGACCCUAAAAAGCAAAAAUAAAUAAAUAAAUAAAUACUCCGUUUUUUUUCAGUGACUUACCCGGGGUCACUGAGGAUUGGAAUUUGUACAGGUAAAGGUCUAUGUAGAAAGGUCAAUAGGAAUAUGAAAUUUCUAAGGACCCUUUCUUAAGAGAGAAAGACAUUUUACUUUGAAGGGAGUGCCCCCUCAAACGUCUCCUCCCCUCUCAAUUCUCAGCCAGAAUCAGGUCACACGAGAAUUCCUAAACCAGUCACACCAGGAGGAGGGAGUAUCCUUAGACCCAUCAAGCCCCCUUGGAGCUGAGGAUGGGUCAGGUUCCUUGAGACCAUGGCUUUGUGUGUGCGUGUGUGUGUGUGUGUGUAAAUAUUGUAGGAGGAGAACCAGCUUCCUCUAGGACAAGAUAGAGGGACAAGGACCACACUUGGCAACCCAGUAACACCCCUGCCAAUUAGAUAUUAAAAAAGCUGGUUUCAUGGUCACAUGGAGAAGCCCAUACUUCUGCCUAAACAUGCGUUAUGGGGUUAUGGGAAGUGCUGAGCUUCCUCGCAGAGAUUCAGAAAUAGUUUACAACUCUAAAGGACAGUCAAGAAGGAGAUUAAAAACUGCUGCAAACUAUUGCCUACGAUGUCUAUAAAAUACAGGGACUGCUUUGAGAAACCCUCUCUUUUGGAGACACUACUGCAAGAGAUAUUACAGUGAGAAGUGACUUAGGGAGGUGGUUGUUGAGAGAUCGAUGGGGACCCUGGAGAGAAAGACCUGGAUGGAGUUUUGGCUUAAAACUCCCAGUAAGCCUGGAUUUAUCCUGCAUGAACAGAAGCCUCCCUAAGCUUCAUUUUAAUCCACAAAACAGGGAAGCAAUACCCUUCCUCACAGAGACCGUGAAAGAAUUAUGCUCAGGGGUGGAGAAAUGCUUCAUAAUUUAUGGGUUCUAUGGAGAGCUCUGACCAAAUUCCCUAGAAGUCAUGCUGGAUGGACAUGACUUACACAUGGCUUCUCACCUUAAAAUUAAUGUAUAAUGUAUCUUAGUAUAUCGGAGGGUUUGAAACAGUUCUGCACAUUGAAUGAAUGAAUGAAGCAUGAAAAUGCCUCACUGCCUCUACAUCCAGUAAAAUUGGAAGCAGAGAUUCCGUUUGGCCAGUGAGCUCCUCGAAAUCACCCAGUGGAGCUGGCACCACGUGGUUCCCAGGCCUGGCUCGUCAGCACACUUCCAGCCUUACUUAGAAAUCUCCAGCUCAUACACCACAGGCCUGGCUUAAAACUAUUUUUUUUUUUUUUUUUUUUUUNNNNUUUUUUUUUUUUUUUGCCUUUUAUGGCCACACCUGAGGCAUAUGGAAGUUCCCAGACUAGGAGUCAAAUUGGACCUGCAGCUGCCAGCCUACAUACACCACAGCUCAUGGCAAUACCAGAUUCUUAACCCACUGAGCAAGGCCAGGAAUCGAACCCACAUCCUUAUGGUACUAAUUGGAUUCUUAACCCAUUGAGCCACAGUGGAAACUUCCUUAAAACUAUUCUUUACGAUACUCAUUUCUAAGCUCCUUAUGUCAGGACUGGAUACAUAAUUUGGGGGACCCAGUGAAAAAUCAAGGCUCCUUAUUUAAAAAUUAUUAACAAUCUCAAGGCGGUGACAGAAGAGCAUUAUCCCCAGUUGGGGGCUUUCUAAACACAAGACCUUAUUUGACUGUUCAGGUCACGUGGUCAUGAACCUAGCUCUACUUAAUACCUGCAAGUGAGAAAUGCACAGAAUACAGGGCCCUUCAGAAUAAGACCUUCUAGUUUACAUCCUAGGUUUCUCAGAGCCCUAAUUAGCAUUUGUCUCAUGCCAUUUAAAUCACUUUUUUUUUUUUUAAACACCUUGGUCUCUUGCUACAAGAAGGUGAGGUUUUUGAUUGCAGGAAAUGUCUUACCUCCUUCUGUGCCUCUAGCUCCCAGCCUGGUGUCUGGCAUACCAUGGUUCCUAUGUGAACCUGGAAGUGGCCACCUGCCUAGAUCAUGGCAAUGUCCAACCUUUCCUUCUCUCAUGUUGACUCUGGCUGGGACCUCUGAAUCUUAUCCCAUGUCUGAUCAGUAUUUGGCUUUGACACCUGACCUUGCCCCUGGUUGCUAUGACACUAGGUCUUUUCUUGGACUCCUAGUACCUAAUUCCUCUCCCUUCCUUUGGCCUUUAGCCUCAGGGAUAGUUCCAGAGCUCAGAUCCAACUCUGAAGCAGCACGACCUAGGGUGAAUCUCCUCUAAAGCAGAUCCCAAGACAAGGAUUUGGGCCAAGCAUUUUAUUUGCAUGUUGAGGGAGUGGGAAGUUGAGAAAGUGGAGGGUGCAACGCUAAGAGGUACCUUCAUUAGUAGGUUCCAUUAUGGGCAAACUGGGCUCAGGCUGCUAGGGACCAUCUGAAAAGUUGUGCUAAACCCAGCCCUAAGUGAUCCUACCGGAAGGAAGAAGCCAGAGUAUUUAUUCACAACUGUUGCCUCUUCUUGAUCUACGGUCACUCUGGGAACUUUCCAGAAUUUGUAGUCUACCUUGGAUGUGAGUGGGAGUGCCCAUGGCAGAGGAUGCUCUUAGCCAGGAGAUGCAGGAAACCGCCGUCAUGGCUGCAGGUGCCCUAGGAAUAGAUGUGUGUGUGUGGUGGCGGGAGGGCAGAGAACAAGUAGAUCAUUGAUGACAUCCAUUACCCAGAGAAAUGGUGUCAAACAAUCCUUGGCAGAAAUGUUCCUAGAUGGUCAUGAACUCCAGCAAGCACAUCAGGGAUAGAAACUAUGGCAGGUAGUUUCUUAAGGCUGCUGUUACAAAAUCCCAUCGGCUGAGGAUAUAUGGUCUCACAGUUUUGGAGGUCACAAGUCCAUAUCCAAGGCAUCAGCAGGGCCAGGCUCCCUCUGAAAUCUCCAGGGAAAGAUCUGUUCCAGGCCUCUCAACUUGUUCCUUGGCGUAUAAAUGGCCAUCUUCUCCCUGUGCGUCUUUUCAUUGCUUUUCCUCCAUCAGUGUAUAUCUGUGUCCAAUUUUAUAAGGACGCCAGUGAUAUUGGAUUAGGCCCCAUUCCAAUGACCUCAUUUUUAAAAUUAAUGAAUUAAUCAAUUAAUUAAUUUUAAGGACUGCACCCAAAGCAUAUGGAAAUUCCCAGGCUAGGGGUUGAAUAGGAGCUGCAGCCGCCCCACAGCAAUGCCAGAUCAUAGCUACAUCUGUGAUGUAGCUCACAGCAACGCCAGGUCCUUAACCUACUGAGCAAGGCCAGGGACCAAACUUGCAUCCUCCUGGAUGGAUACUAGUCAGGUUCAUUACCCUUGGGCCACUAUGGGAACUUCCCAAUGACCUCAUUUUAACUUGAUGACCUCUGUAAAGCCUUACCCCCCUCCCCAAAUGAGGGUCACAUUCUGUGGUAUGGGGGAUUAGGACUUCAACGUAUUUUUUAGGGGACAUAAUUCAAUCCAUAACAUGACCGAAUGAAUAGAAAGCACCACCCAUGUCCCCCUCGGUCUCCCUAAGUGGGCAAAGACCUAUCAAGGAAAGGUCCCCCUCGUCUAUCGAGGUGUUUUAUUACAACAGUUCCCCCAAACAACAGCCGCUGGAAUUUUUCCCUUCACUUGCUCACACUAGAGAGAAAAGUGGGCUAAACUCUCUCAGCCGGAAGACAGACUCUCACCAAAGUGAUGUGCAUAUGUGAAUGGAAGAUGAAAGGCAGCUUGGCUUGCAGAAACUGUGGGGUGAUUCUGUCCAAAGGGAAGAUUCACUGGAAGCCCUUUUUGGUGAAGACUGACUAUUGUGGGAGGCACACAGCAAACUAGAAGGAAAUCCACAGGGGAAUCUUUGUUAAAAACUAAAAUAAUUAAAGCCUUCAAAAAUAGGACCUAGAGAAAAAGCUGAAAGGAAUUUGACAAUUUCGCCUGCAGAAAAGCAGACUGAGGUGUGGCUUCCCACUUCCCCCGCAUUUGAAAUGUGGCCAAAGGCACUCCUACUCCUGCUGAGAAGAGAGUGAUGGGAAAAAGGCUUAGACUGAAGAAGGGGAGAUUUGGAUGGGAUAAACUGAGGAGUGUUCUAGAAUUAGCCUAUGUGGUGUCAACACUUCAGGAUUGGUUCACUGACAGCAAAGACGUUACUUUUGCACAGACUUAAAGAUUUAUGCAGAUUCCUUUUACAUGCAUCACUUCAUUUCAUUCUUCCCACGUGCCUUUGCGGGGACAGGGGAGGUAACAUUGUAUAAACUGUAAAAGGCCGUGCACAUGAUUUGCAGAAGUUGCCCAUAAAAUGCUUAGUUUUGCCAGUCCAGGGUGCCUUGACUUCAGCGCUAUUGACAUUUGGGGCCUGAUGAUUCUCUCUGGUGAAAGGCUGUCCUAAAUGUCUGUCCCACAAAAUAUCUCCAAUCAUUGUCAAAUGCCCCUUGGAGACAGAAAUCACCCACCGUUGACAACCACUGAUUUGUCUAAGUCUCCCAAAUUCAGUUCAAGCCCUUUCAUUAUUUUGGUGCCCCCUCUGGGGAGAUAAGAAGUAUUAUUGCUCAGUUUUUAAAUAUUUGUGAAAGAUGAAAAGACAUCAUCACUGAUUUCCAGGACCUUCCAGACGACUGGGAAGUGACCUUGCCCCUUCCUCACUGUGGGAAGGUGGCUGUUAUGUGAUGCCCCCAAAGGGUGCAGAGGUCACAGGAGCCAUUCAGUCUGCCUAGCAUUUUAAGGAGGAAACAUUUCACAAAAAAGGAAGGAUUGAAACAAAGUCGUUAAAGGCUGAAUAGAGGUUAAUCUACUAGAUGUUGUCACAUGAUAUACAACUUUAUAUUCUAAAUCAGGGGUCAUCCCACGGGCCAUGGGUCAAAUCUGGUGUCUGUUUUUAUAAAUAAAGUUUUAUUGGAACACAGUUACAAUCAUUCAAGUAAUGUCUGCAGCUGCUUGCAUGAUACAACAUCAGAUUUGAAUGGUAGCACCAGACUCCACAGUGAUCACAGAGUUGAAAAUACUUUAUUAUCUGGCCCAGAGGAAAAAAACUUGCAGACCUCUGUCCAGGACCUGAAAUUAUGAAGGGGUCCUUAUUGAUGUCUUUCUGCUGCCUCACUUACCAUUGCUUUAGGCAAGACUGUCUAGUGUGUACAUAGCACUGUGGCUUCUGAUUUCUUUCUUGGAAUGAUCUUUAAAAUAUUUACUGUGAUUAUCAGUCCAACAAAUAGAAGUUCAGAUAAAAGAAUGAACUUGACAAAAUUAAAGCAUGAGUAGGCAAGUGAAUACAGGGUUCAAAUCCCCAGGUUCCUGAUUCAAAGGCUUUAAACUCUGUGAGUCUCAGUGUCUUCACUUAUUAAAAGCAAAUAAAGGUACCUACCUGUCUCA
Molecule: long non-coding RNA, 6452 nt
Filed under: Sus scrofa (pig)
Lineage: Eukaryota; Metazoa; Chordata; Mammalia; Artiodactyla; Suidae
Description: lncRNA (ENSSSCG00040019507.1)
Source: RNAcentral